Molecule: ribosomal RNA, 323 nt
Filed under: uncultured beta proteobacterium
Lineage: Bacteria; Pseudomonadati; Pseudomonadota; Betaproteobacteria
Description: bacterial SSU rRNA
Rfam family: Bacterial small subunit ribosomal RNA
Source: RNAcentral
CAUAAUCUCUGAGGAGAAAAGCAGGGGAUCGCAAGACCUUGCGCUUUUGGAGCGGCCGAUGUCUGAUUAGCUUGUUGGUGAGGUAAAAGCUUACCAAGGCUUCGAUCAGUAGCUGGUCUGAGAGGACGACCAGCCACACUGGGACUGAGACACGGCCCAGACUCCUACGGGAGGCAGCAGUGGGGAAUUUUGGACAAUGGGGGCAACCCUGAUCCAGCCAUGCCGCGUGAGUGAAGAAGGCCUUCGGGUUGUAAAGCUCUUUCAGCCGGAACGAAACGGUUACGGUUAAUACCCGUGACUACUGACGGUACCGGAAGAAGAAG